RNAcentral lists this ribosomal RNA (254 nucleotides) under uncultured bacterium. RNAcentral's name for it is "partial 16S ribosomal RNA". It matches the Rfam family "Bacterial small subunit ribosomal RNA", at positions 524 to 776 of the family's 1533-position model. The record is from RNAcentral.
UACGGGGGGAGCAAGCGUUGUUCGGAUUUACUGGGCGUAAAGGGCGCGUAGGCGGCCACCGCAAGUCGACUGUGAAAUCUCCGGGCUUAACCCGGAAAGGUCAGCCGAUACUGCGGGGCUAGAGUGCAGAAGGGGCAACUGGAAUUCUCGGUGUAGCGGUGAAAUGCGUAGAUAUCAGGAGGAACACCGGUGGCGAAGGCGGGUCUCUGGGCCGUAACUGACGCUGAGGAGCGAAAGCGUGGGGAGCGAACAGG